AUUGAACGCUGGCGGCAUGCCUUACACAUGCAAGUCGAACGGCAGCACGGGAGCAAUCCUGGUGGCGAGUGGCGAACGGGUGAGUAAUAUAUCGGAACGUGCCCAGUCGUGGGGAUAACGUAGCGAAAGCUACGCUAAUACCGCAUACGAUCUACGGAUGAAAGCGGGGGAUCGCAAGACCUCGCGCGAUUGGAGCGGCCGAUAUCAGAUUAGGUAGUUGGUGAGGUAAAGGCUCACCAAGCCGACGAUCUGUAGCUGGUCUGAGAGGACGACCAGCCACACUGGGACUGAGACACGGCCCAGACU
RNAcentral lists this ribosomal RNA (306 nucleotides) under uncultured bacterium. RNAcentral's name for it is "bacterial SSU rRNA". It matches the Rfam family "Bacterial small subunit ribosomal RNA", at positions 30 to 337 of the family's 1533-position model. The record is from RNAcentral.